AGAGUUUGAUCAUGGCUCAGGAUGAACGCUGGCGGUAUGCUUAACACAUGCAAGUCGAACGGUCUCUUCGGAGAUAGUGGCGGACGGGUGAGUAACGCGUGAGAACAUGCCUAUCGAUUGGGGACAACAGUUGGAAACGACUGCUAAUACCGAAUGUGCCUUAGGGUGAAAGAUUUAUCGUCGAUAGAUUGGCUCGCGUCAGAUUAGCUAGUUGGUGAGGUAAAGGCUCACCAAGGCGACGAUCUGUAACUGGUCUGAGAGGAUGACCAGUCACACUGGAACUGAGACACGGUCCAGACUCCUACGGGAGGCAGCAGUGGGGAAUUUUCCGCAAUGGGCGAAAGCCUGACGGAGCAAUACCGCGUGUGGGAGGACGCUUUUUGGAGUGUAAACCACUUUUAUUAGGGAAGAAGAACUGACGGUACCUAAUGAAUCAGCAUCGGCUAACUCCGUGCCAGCAGCCGCGGUAAUACGGGGGAUGCAAGCGUUAUCCGGAAUUAUUGGGCGUAAAGCGUCCGUAGGUGGCUUAUCAAGUCUGUUGUCAAAGCGUGCGGCUCAACCGCAUACGGGCGAUGGAAACUGAUGAGCUAGAGUGCGAUAGGGGUCAGGGGAAUUCCCGGUGUAGCGGUGAAAUGCGUAGAUAUCGGGAAGAACACCAGUGGCGAAAGCGCCUGACUGGGUCUGCACUGACACUGAGGGACGAAAGCUAGGGGAGCGAAAGGGAUUAGAUACCCCUGUAGUCCUAGCUGUAAACGAUGGCAACUAGGUGUGGUUCGUAUCGACCCGAGCCGUGCCGUAGCCAACGCGUUAAGUUGUCCGCCUGGGGAGUACGCACGCAAGUGUGAAACUCAAAGGAAUUGACGGGGGCCCGCACAAGCGGUGGAGUAUGUGGUUUAAUUCGAUGCAACGCGAAGAACCUUACCAAGGCUUGACAUCCUCGGAACCCUGAUGAAAGUUAGGGGUGCCUUCGGGAGCCGAGAGACAGGUGGUGCAUGGCUGUCGUCAGCUCGUGUCGUGAGAUGUUGGGUUAAGUCCCGCAACGAGCGCAACCCACGUUUUUAGUUGCCAGCAUUCAGUUGGGCACUCUAGAGAGACUGCCGGUGACAAACCGGAGGAAGGUGUGGAUGACGUCAAGUCAGCAUGCCCCAUACGCCUUGGGCUACACACGUACUACAAUGCUUCGGACAAAGGGCAGCCAGACCGCGAGGUUGAGCCAAUCCCAUAAACCGAGGCACAGUUCAGAUUGCAGGCUGCAACUCGCCUGCAUGAAGGCGGAAUCGCUAGUAAUCGCAGGUCAGCAUACUGCGGUGAAUACGUUCCCGGGCCUUGUACACACCGCCCGUCACACCAUGGGAGUUGGUCAUGCCCGAAGUCGUUACUCCAACCGUUCGCGGAGGAGGACGCCGAAGGUGGGGCUGAUGACUGGGGUGAAGUCGUAACAAGGUAGCCGUACCGGAAGGUGUGGCUGGAUCACCUCCUU
RNAcentral lists this ribosomal RNA (1480 nucleotides) under Leptolyngbya alkalina. RNAcentral describes it as "16S ribosomal RNA". It matches the Rfam family "Bacterial small subunit ribosomal RNA". The record is from RNAcentral. Lineage: Bacteria; Bacillati; Cyanobacteriota; Cyanophyceae; Leptolyngbyales; Leptolyngbyaceae.